UCCCUGGUGGUCCAGUGGCUAAGAUUUCACGUUCCCAAUGCAAGCAGCCCAGGUUUGAUUCCUGGUCAGGGAA
Molecule: transfer RNA, 73 nt
Filed under: Ovis aries (sheep)
Lineage: Eukaryota; Metazoa; Chordata; Mammalia; Artiodactyla; Bovidae
Rfam family: tRNA
About the family: Transfer RNA (tRNA) molecules are approximately 80 nucleotides in length.
Source: Rfam by way of RNAcentral